UACAGAGGGGGCAAGCGUUGUUCGGAAUUACUGGGCGUAAAGGGCGCGUAGGCGGCCUGUUAAGUCGAACGUGAAAUCCCCGGGCUCAACCCGGGAACUGCGUCCGAUACUGGCAGGCUUGAAUCCGGGAGAGGGAUGCGGAAUUCCAGGUGUAGCGGUGAAAUGCGUAGAUAUCGGGAGGAACACCAGUGGCGAAGGCGACUACCUGGCCUGUUUCUUGACGCUGAGGCGCGAAAGCUAGGGGAGCAAACGGG
This 254-nucleotide ribosomal RNA is filed under the name uncultured bacterium. Its description in RNAcentral is "partial 16S ribosomal RNA". It matches the Rfam family "Bacterial small subunit ribosomal RNA", at positions 524 to 776 of the family's 1533-position model. The record is from RNAcentral.